GAUGAACGCUGGCGGCGUGCCUAAUACAUGCAAGUCGAGCGAACAGACGAGGAGCUUGCUCCUCUGACGUUAGCGGCGGACGGGUGAGUAACACGUGGAUAACCUACCUAUAAGACUGGGAUAACUUCGGGAAACCGGAGCUAAUACCGGAUAAUAUAUUGAACCGCAUGGUUCAAUAGUUAAAGUCGGUUUUGCUGUCACUUAUAGAUGGAUCCGCGUCGCAUUAGCUAGUUGGUAAGGUAACGGCUUACCAAGGCGGCGAUGCGUAGCCGACCUGAGAGGGUGAUCGGCCACACGGGAACUGAGACAGGGUCCAGACUCCUACGGGAGGCAGCAGUAGGGAAUCUUACGCAAUGGGCGAGAGCCUGACGGAGCAACGCCGCGUGAGUGAUGAAGGUCUUCGGAUCGUAAAACUCUGUUAUUAGGGAAGAACAAAUGUGUAAGUAACUAGGAACGUAUUGACGGUACCUAAUGAGAAAGCCACGGCUAACUACGUG
RNAcentral lists this ribosomal RNA (497 nucleotides) under uncultured bacterium. RNAcentral's name for it is "partial 16S ribosomal RNA". It matches the Rfam family "Bacterial small subunit ribosomal RNA", at positions 28 to 507 of the family's 1533-position model. The record is from RNAcentral.